This 497-nucleotide ribosomal RNA is filed under the name uncultured bacterium. RNAcentral's name for it is "partial 16S ribosomal RNA". It matches the Rfam family "Bacterial small subunit ribosomal RNA", at positions 28 to 507 of the family's 1533-position model. The record is from RNAcentral.
GAUGAACGCUGGCGGCGUGCCUAAUACAUGCAAGUCGAGCGAACGGACGAGAAGCUUGCUUCUCUGAUGUUAGCGGCGGACGGGUGAGUAACACGUGGAUAACCUACCUAUAAGACUGGGAUAACUUCGGGAAACCGGAGCUAAUACCGGAUAAUAUUUUGAACCGCAUGGUUCAAAAGUGAAAGACGGUCUUGCUGUCACUUAUAGAUGGAUCCGCGCUGCCUUAGCUAGUUGGUAAGGUAACGGCUUACCAAGGCAACGAUGCAUAGCCGACCUGAGAGGGUGAUCGGCCACACUGGAACUGAGACACGGUCCAGACUCCUACGGGAGGCAGCAGUAGGGAAUCUUCCGCAAUGGGCGAAAGCCUGACGGAGCAACGCCGCGUGAGUGAUGAAGGUCUUCGGAUCGUAAAACUCUGUUAUUAGGGAAGAACAUAUGUGUAAGUAACUGUGCACAUCUUGACGGUACCUAAUCAGAAAGCCACGGCUAACUACGUG